GUUGGGUAAAAAUAGGUCUGACAGCUAUCAGAGAUCUGUUAACGCAAUGAUGAAUGCAUUUUCUAAAAUAGGCGUUAAUAUGUCGCUCAAAAUUCAUUACCUACAUCAUCAUCUAGACUACUUCGGUCAGCAACUAGCCACCGAAUCAGAUGAACAAGGUGAACAGUACCACCAAAUUGCAAUGCCAUUUGAAAUGAGAUAUCGAGGAAAAAAGUCUCCCGAUGCUGUAUUAGCGGAAAUUUGUUGGUGGAGCAAGAACUUGCAUUACGAUGAUGAAGGAGAAGAAAACACAGGAAGUGAACUACAAAAUUUGUCUACUUCAAAUUCUGGAUCUACAGAGCAUCCACCAGAGCAGAAAAGACCUCGAACUAUAUAAUGUAGUUAAUUUUUAUAUAAACUAUGUAAAAAAAUACAAAUUACAUUUUAAAAAUUAAA
Molecule: long non-coding RNA, 435 nt
Organism: Calliphora vicina (urban bluebottle blowfly)
Lineage: Eukaryota; Metazoa; Arthropoda; Insecta; Diptera; Calliphoridae
Exons: 2
Source: RefSeq, a predicted model, not a curated record